Molecule: ribosomal RNA, 293 nt
Filed under: Klebsiella pneumoniae
Lineage: Bacteria; Pseudomonadati; Pseudomonadota; Gammaproteobacteria; Enterobacterales; Enterobacteriaceae
Description: partial 16S ribosomal RNA
Rfam family: Bacterial small subunit ribosomal RNA
Source: RNAcentral
UAAUGUCUGGGAAACUGCCUGAUGGAGGGGGAUAACUACUGGAAACGGUAGCUAAUACCGCAUAACGUCGCAAGACCAAAGUGGGGGACCUUCGGGCCUCAUGCCAUCAGAUGUGCCCAGAUGGGAUUAGCUAGUAGGUGGGGUAAUGGCUCACCUAGGCGACGAUCCCUAGCUGGUCUGAGAGGAUGACCAGCCACACUGGAACUGAGACACGGUCCAGACUCCUACGGGAGGCAGCAGUGGGGAAUAUUGCACAAUGGGCGCAAGCCUGAUGCAGCCAUGCCGCGUGUGUG